This is a long non-coding RNA of Macaca fascicularis (crab-eating macaque), 2414 nucleotides long. The record is from Ensembl. Lineage: Eukaryota; Metazoa; Chordata; Mammalia; Primates; Cercopithecidae.
AAUUCAGGUGACUGCUAUCUAGACACCUGGGGUGGCGUGUUUUCUUUGGGAUGCAUAAUACAGAAAGGCCAGGGAGCCUUUGGCUUGGACCCCAGGGAGCUAUCGAAACUUUUGAAGUUUAAGUUUAGGAGUAAGAACAUAUCUCAGACCACCUUAGUCAGCUUUGCUAAUGGGAUUUAGGGCCAGGCCAGAGUGUCUUUUCCUAACUGUUCCUGAAAAGGGAGAUGGUGUGAAACAAGAUUCUGAUAAUGGUUUGUGUGAGAUUUGAUCAUAGUCUAAAACUAUCAUGUCUUGAGUUGCCUUAGGAUGACAGUGCAGACACCCAGUAGGAAGUACCCCAUUUUUAUCAGGAAAGUCAGUCACGCGAAGGGAUGGUGAGGAGACGAGGGGAGAGGAGGGAGACUUGGUGCCCUUGCACCAGGGUGAGGCCUGACUCACGCUGCUUCCCCCCACAGGCCCUGCUUUGCUUGCCUGCUUUUUCCAGAGUCGAUUUUGCAAGUUUCAAGACUCUGUUCCCCUCUUUGCAGAAGUGAGGAAGGCAAAUACUCAGGGUUUGAAGAGAGACCUGGCUGGCUCGAGGGCUGGCAGAUGCGAGGGCAGGACACCUGGGAUGGACUUGUAGGCUGGCCCAGGCCCAAAGGGGGCUGCCUGCUCCCAACUCUUUCACUCUGUAACCCAUUUUAAAAUGAGUUUUUGAAUCUUGCCUCAAAUUGACCUACUUGGAUAAAAUCAGUGCUUUUCCUAACUUGAUUUUGUUUGACAUGGUUCCCUCUAAGAGAAUGCUAGGAAUUGAAACUAUUUGUAUAUGUUGAAAUUUGUAGGGGUUCAGGAACCCAUGGCAGAAACAUAUUUAUUUACAAGUAUGACUAUUUUUUUUUCAAAGUAGGCAAUUCUGUCUUUGUAUAUUUUAAGGCAAAUAAUCACUUCACCUCUGGUGCCUUCCAUGCGUCACAUAAGCACUCUUGUCAAUCAUGGAAUUGGAAAAAAAGAUGUACAUUUAGUUAAGCCAGAUAACACUAUUUUUAUAGCAUGAUUUUAGAUUGUGUCCUUUUAAUAUUGUUUUCAACAAUGGUAGUUUUGAGGUUUUGGCCAUUUUCUCUUUACACUUCGUAUGUAUUUUAAAGAAGGAAAAAACAACAAAAAAAUUCCCUGGCUAUUCCUCUUUCCUCUCUGCUGCUGCUUCUCCCACAUCUUGUUCCUGCUUAUUUAAAUAGUCUGAGAGUAAGAGUAUAUUUCUGUGAAAUAAUUAUAAGUCAGUAUAAUUGCAUUGGCAUUUUUUAACCACUUGCUCAGUUUGGAGCCACUGCUCACCUCAAACAGUACAAAGAAAGUGGUUCCAUAUUUUACAAACAAAAGAGUAGCAUCAGAGCCCUGACCUGUCUUUGGGUGUAAAAUGGUGAAAGGCCGGUGUCUGGCUCCUUCCCCUGUGGUUUGGGCUGGUGAACUGAGCCCAGGUGUAUUCUCUGGCCUGGGCCCCUUCCAGGAUCAGUGCAGGCGUCCUGCAGAGGCGCGGCCUUCCUGCCACUACAGAGUGGGAAGCUUCCCGGGGGACCUCAGCCGGCUCCGGAGCUCUCACCUUCCACUCGGAUCUCGUAUUGGUUCGUUGUGGAUGCUCUGGCUAGGCUUGGUGGCAUAUUCCAGGCUUCAGGCCUGAACAAAACAGGCUGCUUGCUGUGAGGAGCUAGAUGACACCAAGACACAGACAUAUACUCUUCAGCAGCUCCUUUCGCCUCUCCUUCCUGCAGGGCGUGAGUUAUGGCUGGUCCCAAAACCCUUGAAUAAACUAGCUGAGCCAUUGCAAAUGAAGGUACAGAUGGAUUGAAACAUAAAAUCGUAGCUUUUGAUGUCCUUCUGAAGGGUCAGAAUAUGUAAUUAUUUGAUAACCAAGGAAGUCAAGCCAGAUGGCUAAGUAGUAACUUUCCAAUAUGAUUUAUCCGUGGUACUUCACCUGGUGGCACUUUUGGGGGGCAAUAUUAACAACUAUCACAUUUUACUUGUUAAGUCUCUUUCAUUCUGGCAGUUUAAAGACACAACUGUGGGCUUUCUGAGGCAAUGCCCAUUGGGCAAACUUAGGUUUAUGUGUUUGGUUUUUCAGCUACGGAAGCCCUGGGUGGGUGCCCCCUGGCUGGCCCUGGCUCUUGGGUUCAAGUCUGUAUGUCUGGAGUGGGUUGGGGCCCCAAAGCUUUGCUGCUAUUGAUUUGUCCCCGACAGCAGGCAAAGCCUCACAUUGCCCUCAAUUUUCCCCCUUUCAUUUGAAGGACCAAUUUUUCACGGUACUUGUCUUGAUCUUUUUCAUAGUGUUCAAAUCUGUAUUUUUGUAUGUAGAGGAAAAUAAUUUUCUCAACACUAAUCGUUAAUAACUAUUGUAUUAAAUCGUCAUGAAGGAACUCUUGUUUAAUAAAUGGACGUGUAAG